CCUUCCCUCCCCCUCGCUGGUCAGCCCUGGCUCACAGAGAGCUGUAAUUCUGUUUUCUUGAGACAUGAGCAUCUCAGGGGCAGAGCUAGAGUUUUGUUUUGGGGGGAGGGUCCCCAGCACCUGGUGCCUUUGGGAGAAGUGUGGGGGGCACCAGAUGUUUGUUGAAGUGACAAACCAGUGGAAAGCCACUCCCGUGGCCAGCUGUGGAGGGCAGGCGUGGAAUCUUCCUCCCAUGCACCUGUAGGCCUCCGCAGCCAGAGAUGCUGAGAGUGGACAUUGAGCAGCACCAAGCUACUGUAAGUCCCACCCCCAGUACCACCUCCCUCAAGCUCAAGCACUCCAACCCCUGUUCCUCCCUAGACUGACUUGGCUCCCAGCUAAAGGGCCAUUUCAGAAUUCCCAGUAAGAACCUUCUUCAUGUCUGUGUUUCGGCUAAACUUUCAAGAGGCCCUCAAAUGACAGGUUAAAUGUGUGGCCUCUGGGACAGGACAACCCGGAUUUGCAGUUAUGGCUCUGCUGCUCACUAGCUGUGACCUCUCUGUGCCUCAGUCUCCUCAUCUCGUAGAGAUGAGAAUAGACCCGAUUUCAUAACAGAGCCAUGAAGAGUAAACUAAGCAGCUCCUAAUGAAAUCCCCCCAAACAGUCUUCCGCACACAGUUAAGUGCUUAGCUGGUCUUUGUCGGGGUUUUCUUUGCAUGGUUCUUCUCUUGGUCUUCCAAAUCUCCUUCCCCUCAGCCGUGGCUCCCUGGAGCACUCAGCAAACGCCACUGUGUGUGGUCCUCACUGCAGGACACCCCAUGGAUUGCCCCAGUUGACUAAGCGAAGACCCGGGGGCCCAGAGUGGGGCUUCUAGAACAGCAAAGGGGGAUGGUUGCAGUCCCAGCUCCUCCCUGACUCUCCGCAGGACCUUGGCUAAUUAAACCUGUGUGAGCUUCAGAGACCCCCUCUCCAAAACCUGGGUUACGCCAGCAACCCUGGAGGGCGGCUGGAAAGAUCCAUGGGACAGUGUCUUCUCCUCAACAUUAGAAUGGAAUGCACAUACCUCCCGCUUAGGUUCCUGCAUCACAGGACCAAGGGCGUGAGUCCCCGGCAGACAGCCACCUUUAAAGGGAGGAAGGGAGGUGAGUUCUGGGGCAUGGAUGAGCCCCAGGAGAGGAGAAUGGGACCAGACACUGGACACUCAAUGCUCCCUCCCCACUUCCUCUUUUACAGUCUCCCUUCCAUUCAGACCCUCUGCCGGAAUCACAGUCCAAACUUCGAGGAAUCACUGCUUUCAUUAAGCAUUUGCCAGGUGCCAGGCACUAUGUCAGGGGCUCUUUCAUUCACCAUUUUAAGUUUUCUCAACAACCUGUAGGGAAGACACCAUUUAUCACCACUUACAAAUGAGGAAACCAAGGCUCAGAGCAGUUUGAUACUUUGCUUCAGCCCACGGCUGUCAGUAAGGGAUCCCAGACCCGUGGACCCUCAUGCCUCCUCCCCCUCCCUUCCCUGUUCAGUCCGUGACACUGGGGACUGGCUCCACCCUCCUGCAUCCGCAGGGUUGGCAGAGAAGUCUCGCCAGCAGCUGGGGAGGAGGGCUGUAUGCCGGGAAGCUGACAGCAAAGGCACUGAAUCUUCUGCUCCAGACCCUCCUUCUCUCAGAACCUUCCAAGAGGGCAGGUGCCCAGCACUGUGAGUGCCCACGUGGGGCCCUCCAGGGAGGAAGGAGAUGAAUGUCUCUGUGAGAUGCUCAGGAAAUGGUCCCCACCCACCAGCCUGGCCAAGCUGCUGGCUGUGGGGCACUUCCCCACCUUGUUGGUCUUCAUGGGACGGCCAUUCCUGAGGGCGCUGACCCUCAGAUCCCUUUGCUGAUGAGAAAAUCAGAUGCUGGGAAAGAUUCUGAGUAUUUUGCAAGCCGCUGCAGAUAGCACUCCAACUUGGGUCUUCUGACCUUCAGGCACCCAUCAAUACUCACGGAGCACACUCCAUGUGCGGGGACUGCUCUGGGUCCAAGGGACUAGCUAUGGACAAAACGGCACUUCUGCAAAGCCACUUCCGGCUGGGGCACCGGGACCCUUAUUCCACCCGCAUACUUUGCCUCUGGCCAGGAGUGGAGGCCCUCAGCAGAGGUUGGCUGAAAUAAAGAGAGGAGUAGAACAUUACACUCCAAAGAUAUAAUGCCGCCUCUCCUCAAGAAGCUGUCAGGUUUUAAUGGCAUGAGGACAAUUUACUUCAAGUAAAGUCCAAGCAGAUGCUUGAUGCUGGAGAAGUUACUUUUAAGCAGGUCUUUAAAAUUGGCUGAGAAUCUGAGGCUGUGCUCAGAGAGACUGUUAAAUCAUUGAAUAAUUUCUCCAAGACGUCAAGUUAGCUCUUAUAACAGGCCCCUCAAAUUAGCCUGAGAGCCCUUACAACAAACGAGUCUCUGAUUAAAAGAUUAAUGUGGUCUUA
This is a long non-coding RNA of Felis catus (domestic cat), 2427 nucleotides long. RefSeq lists it as uncharacterized. The transcript has 2 exons. The record is from RefSeq and is a predicted model, not a curated record. Lineage: Eukaryota; Metazoa; Chordata; Mammalia; Carnivora; Felidae.